CUGAAUUAUUCUUUGAAAUGUAAAAAUGAACUCAUAAGCAUAAUUAAGGAAAGCAAACCAACGCAAACUAAACCCCAGCUUUUCUUUUUAAAUGCAAUUGUGAUAUUUUGUACACCAAUGAACGAAUUGUUACAGCGAAAGAAACCAAAUCAACAAUGUCUAAGCCUUAGGUUAUAUUCAAUGACACAUCCCAUUCGAAAUACAUUUAUUCCGCCGGUUCAACAUAGUGGUGGAUUCUUUGAAGAAUCCUUUGGGUUACUGAUAUGAUGGAUAAAAUAUAAUCUCAGGAAUAGAGUCGUGGGUGUCUUGCACCAACCGGAUAUAAAUGAUAGAUGGAACAUGGUGUUCCAAGCAGGUGUGAGGUUGAUCGAUGAAGGACAAGAUUUUGUUGUAAUUGUACAUUAUGCCGCACACCUAAUGUCUUAUCUAGGCUCUCGGAUGCUGUAAGGGAACUUGGGCCUGGAGAAUCAUCACAUGUACGUACCUCUUCCUUUUUCACUAAUUUAUCUCCAGUAAUAUUGUAGAUAUGUUCUUAAAAAGUUGAAAUACAUGUUGUUUUCUCUCUGAUUUUCAUAGUCCAGUUUCAAAUCAUAUCUUAUCUUGACUUUAUCCAAUUGUACAUUCAUUAUUCGAGAAAUUUUCGGAUGUGGUAAAGGACAUACAGAAGCUAUGAUGACGAAGCUAGCUACAAGAAAAAGUGGUGUUAGUUUAGGUUGAUUGAAGUUGGCAUGGAAAACCAAGAUUCUUUUCGGAUUUUCCUGUUUACGUUUGAAAUUGAACAUGCAUGCCGCUAAUGUAGUUGGCAUUUUAAUGCAACCACUACCAAGGUACUAUUAGAAAAUGGUUGGAGCUAUCUUUCCUGCCUUCUGUGUGCCAAAAACAUUGUUGGUGACCUUCUUGAAGUGUGCAUCAGAUGUUGAAAUGCUCAUUCCAAGCAAAGGUUUCUACUCCAUUUUAAAGUUGAAGACAUCACCGGCUCGGCAUCUUCGUAGCUCCUGAUAGUGAGGUCUAGAAAUAUGCAGCAAUCCACAAUUUCGAAGGAUAUUGCCAAAGAGGCGGUGAUGACAGAAUUCUCGCAGAUCCUCAAUAACAC
Molecule: long non-coding RNA, 1093 nt
Organism: Papaver somniferum (opium poppy)
Lineage: Eukaryota; Viridiplantae; Streptophyta; Magnoliopsida; Ranunculales; Papaveraceae
Exons: 5
Source: RefSeq, a predicted model, not a curated record